This 1309-nucleotide ribosomal RNA is filed under the name uncultured organism. Its description in RNAcentral is "16S ribosomal RNA". It matches the Rfam family "Bacterial small subunit ribosomal RNA", at positions 94 to 1435 of the family's 1533-position model. The record is from RNAcentral.
AGCGGCAAACGGGUGAGUAACACGUAGGAAUCUACCCUCAAGUGGGGAAUAGCCUUCCGAAAGGAGGAUUAAUACCGCAUGUGUAUCAAAGCAUUUUGCUUUGAUAUAAAGCCUUCGGGCGCUUGAGGAGGAGCCUGCGCGCUAUCAGCUAGUUGGUGGGGUAACGGCCUACCAAGGCAAUGACGGCUAGCCGAUGUGAGAGCAUGAUCGGCCACAAGGUCACUGAGACACGGGGCCUACACCUACGGGUGGCAGCAACUAGGAAUAUUGCGCAAUGGACGAAAGUCUGACGCAGCGACACCGCGUGUGGGAUGAAGCUUUUCGGAGUGUAAACCACUGUGGCGAGGGAAGAAUUUUGACUGUACCUCGCUAGAAAGCACCUGCUAACUACGUGCCAGAAGCCUCGGUAAUACGUAGGGUGCAAGCGUUAUCCGGAUUUACUGGGCGUAAAGCGUCCGUCGGCGGCGGUAUAAGUCUGUUGUUUAAGCCUGCGGCUCAACUGCAAAACAGCAACAGAUACUGUGCCACUUGAGUAUGUUAGAGGAAGAUAGAAUUCUCGGUGGAGGGGUGAAAUCCGUAGAUAUCGAGAGGAAUGCCAAUGGUGAAGACAGUCUUCUGGAACAUUACUGACGCUCAGGGACGAAAGCUAGGGUAGCAAAAGGGAUUAGAGACCCCUGUAGUCCUAGCCGUAAACGUUGGAUGCUAGUUGUUCUAGGUUUAACCUGGAGUGACGUAAGCUAACGCGUUAAGCAUCCCGCCUGGGGAGUACGACCGCAAGGUUAAAACUCAAAGGAAUUGACGGGGGAGCGCACAACCGGUGGAGCAUGUGGUUUAAUUGGAUACAAAGCCAAAAACCUUACCCAGGCUUGACAUAUAGCUGCAGAUCUGAUGAAAGUCGGAUUGUCUUCGAGAGUGCUAUACAGGUGAUGCAUGGCUGUCGUCAGCUCGUGUCGUGAGACGUCCGCUUAAGUGCGGUAACGAGCGCAACCCUUAUCUUGUGUUACAAGUGUCACAAGAGACUGCCCUCGCUCAGCGAGAGAGGAAGGAGAGGACGACGUCAAGUCAGCAUGUCCCUUACGCCUGGGGCGACACACAUCCUACAAUGGAGCCGACAACAGGUAGCGACGCUGCAAAGCUGGGCCAAUCCUUAUAAACGGCCCCUCAGUUCGGAUUGAGGGCUGCAAUUCGCCCUCAUGAAGCCGGAAUCGGUAGUAAUCGCAAAUCAGCAGGUUGCGGUGAAUACGUUCUCGCUCCUUGUACACACUGCCCGUCAAGCCAGCAAAGUUGGCAGCGCCCGAAGCGGGUGACC